AUGUCCGUGAGCAAGCAAUGGACGCGGGUGCGCACGCUCGGCCGCGGCGCCUCGGGGGCCGAGGUGUUCCUGGCGGCGGACGACGCCUCGGGGGAGCUCUUCGCGGUCAAGUCGGCUAGCGCGGCUUGUGCGGCGGCGCUGAGGAGGGAGCAGCGGGUGAUGGCCGGCCUGAGCUCCCCGCGCGUUGUCUCCUGCAUCGGCGGCCGCGGCGCCCCCGACGGCUCCUACCAGCUCUUCCUCGAGUUCGCCCCCGGCGGCUCGCUGGCCGACCAGAUGGCGACAGGCCUCGACGAGCUCGCCGUCCGCGGCUACGCGGCCGACGUGGCGGCCGGGCUCGCGUACCUUCACAGCGCCGGCAUGGUGCACGGGGACGUCAAGGCGCGCAACGUCGUGAUCGGCGCCGACGGCCGCGCCAAGCUCGCCGAUUUCGGCUGUUCGAGGAAGGCUGGCGCUGACGUGCCGAUCAUCGGUGGCACGCCGGCGUUCAUGGCGCCGGAGGUGGCGCGCGGCGAGGAGCAGAGCCCAGCGGCCGACGUCUGGGCGCUCGGCUGCAUGGUUGUCGAGAUGGCCACUGGACGCACGCCGUGGAGCGGCAUGGACGGCGACGCGCUGGCCGCGCUGCACCGGAUCGGCUACACGGAGGCCAUGCCCGAGGUUCCCGAAUGGUUGUCUGCCGACGCGAAGGACUUCUUGGCCAGGUGCCUUGUCAGGCAGGCCAGCGAUCGGUGCACGGCGGCGCAGCUGCUGGAGCACCCGUUCUUGGCCUCCGCCGUCGUCGAGGCGAAGGCGCAAGCCGUGGAGAGCAAAUGGGUGUCCCCCAAGAGCACGCUGGACGCCGCAUUCUGGGAGUCGGAUUCAGACACCGAGGAGGCGGAGCACGACAGCUCGGCCGAGACGAGGAUCAGGGCACUGGCCUGCCCCGCCUCGGAGCUCCCGGACUGGGACUCGGACGAGGGAUGGAUCGACGUGCUCUCCUCGCCAACCGGAGCAACCGGCGCAGUGCCCGUGGUGGUCGAGGAGAUGACCGACCUGGACGAAGACGCGACCACAGACGAAGAACCAAGCGGCGCAGAGUCCCGCGUUCUCGCCAUUACCUUAGACGUGGAGUACAACAGCGUCCUUAAUGCGGUAGAAGCCUGUGACGAUUCAUUUAGGCGUCACCAGUCGCUCGAGUGUUUAGCUUCCCACGAAUUAUCAUGUACUGAAUUGUUGCUUUGCAACAGAAAGACUAAUGCAAUUGAUCUCGUUGUUGCACAAGCACUCUGUUUUCGUACUGCUGCUCUCUGUUUCACAGCUCCCCAUUGCGACACGUUCGAGUAG
RNAcentral lists this ribosomal RNA (1320 nucleotides) under Triticum aestivum (bread wheat). Its description in RNAcentral is "partial small subunit ribosomal RNA". The record is from RNAcentral. Lineage: Eukaryota; Viridiplantae; Streptophyta; Magnoliopsida; Poales; Poaceae.